Molecule: ribosomal RNA, 440 nt
Filed under: uncultured bacterium
Lineage: Bacteria
Description: partial 16S ribosomal RNA
Rfam family: Bacterial small subunit ribosomal RNA
Source: RNAcentral
CCUACGGGUGGCAGCAGUAGGGAAUAUUGCUCAAUGGGGGAAACCCUGAAGCAGCAACGCCGCGUGGAGGAUGAAGGUUUUAGGAUUGUAAACUCCUUUUGUGAGGGAGGAAAAUGACUGUAGCUCACUAAGAAGCACCGGCUAUCGCCGUGCCAGCAGCCGCGGUAAUACGGAGGUGGCAAGCGUUACUCGGAAUCACUGGGCGUAAGGGGUGCGCAGGCGGGCGUGUAAGUCAGAUGUGAAAUCCUGUGGCUUAACUACAGAACUGCAGUUGAAACUGUGAGUCUAGAGUGUGGGAGAGGUAGGUGGAAUGCUUGGUGUAGGGGUGAAAUCCGUAGAUAUCAAGAGGAAUACUGAUUGCGAAGGCGACCUACGGGAACAUUACUGACGCUCAUGCACGAAAGCGUGGGGAGCAAACAGGAUUAGAUACCCGGGUAGUC